RNAcentral lists this ribosomal RNA (397 nucleotides) under uncultured bacterium. RNAcentral's name for it is "bacterial SSU rRNA". It matches the Rfam family "Bacterial small subunit ribosomal RNA", at positions 29 to 430 of the family's 1533-position model. The record is from RNAcentral.
AUUGAACGCUGGCGGCAUGCCUUACACAUGCAAGUCGAACGGCAGCACGGGAGCAAUCCUGGUGGCGAGUGGCGAACGGGUGAGUAAUGCAUCGGAACGUGCCCAAUCGUGGGGGAUAACGUAGCGAAAGUUACGCUAAUACCGCAUAAGCCCUGAGGGGGAAAGUGGGGGACCGCAAGGCCUCACGCGAAUGGAGCGGCCGAUGUCAGAUUAGCUAGUUGGUGGGGUAAAGGCCACCAAGGCGACGAUCUGUAGCGGGUCUGAGAGGAUGAUCCGCCACACUGGGACUGAGACACGGCCCAGACUCCUACGGGAGGCAGCAGUGGGGAAUUUUGGACAAUGGGCGCAAGCCUGAUCCAGCCAUGCCGCGUGCGGGACGAAGGCCUCGGUUGUAACG